RNAcentral lists this ribosomal RNA (433 nucleotides) under uncultured bacterium. RNAcentral's name for it is "partial 16S ribosomal RNA". It matches the Rfam family "Bacterial small subunit ribosomal RNA", at positions 29 to 507 of the family's 1533-position model. The record is from RNAcentral.
AACGAACGCUGGCGGCAUGCCUAACACAUGCAAGUCGAACGAUCCCUUCGGGGAUAGUGGCGCACGGGUGCGUAACGCGUGGGAACCUGCCCUUAGGUUCGGAAUAACUCAGAGAAAUUUGAGCUAAUACCGGAUAAUGUCUUCGGACCAAAGAUUUAUCGCCUUUGGAUGGGCCCGCGUUGGAUUAGCUAGUUGGUGGGGUAAAGGCCUACCAAGGCGACGAUCCAUAGCUGGUCUGAGAGGAUGAUCAGCCACACUGGGACUGAGACACGGCCCAGACUCCUACGGGAGGCAGCAGUGGGGAAUAUUGGACAAUGGGCGAAAGCCUGAUCCAGCAAUGCCGCGUGAGUGAUGAAGGCCUUAGGGUUGUAAAGCUCUUUUGCCCGGGAUGAUAAUGACAGUACCGGGAGAAUAAGCCCCGGCUAACUCCGUG